CUUAGAAAAUCUAGUUAUUUUGUCAUCUACAAAGUGACCAUGGUCCUUGGCAUAUACUUAAUUUUUUAAAUAACUUAUUAAGAAAGUGAGAAAUGCAUUAGUCUAAUAAAUACUGAUAAAUACUCAAACAACUUUUAGUGAAUGUGUAAAUAGUUAAUGGUGCCAAAUGCAAUACUUUUUUUGGACAGUAAACAGUUACUAGACACAAGUGCAAAAUAACCUAGAGAAAAUUAAAUUGGUAAAAUGUUGUCACAGCCCCUGGUGCUUUUAUCGGCGUGGCCACGCCUAAUCACUGCUGUCACGCCAAUACAGUUACUGCACACGGUGAGCGUGGCUGCAUCUAUUGAAAGCGGUUGUGCCGAAUUGGGAAAUUAUUACUUACCUGGAUCGCGGUGGAUUGCUGCCCGAUCCUCUUCCCAGCUGGUGUUGAGUUCUAAGGGACGCCAGCCACUGCGGUCCAGAACUAUAUAAUUGUGUUCCUAUUGCCCAUAACAAAUAAGGUGCAAAUGUGUGUGUGACUUUGGCUUGUAUUUGACUUAACCUAUUUCUGGUAUCCCUGACUUUUGGCUGGUAUUACAUUUGUGUCUACUUCUGUAUUCCUGACCGUGUUGUGUUUAUUAACCUUUGUCUUGUACGUUAAGUCCGGCCAUUCAAAAAUAAUACCUUAUUAUUUUCACAGUUCUGCGUGUUGGGUCAUACAGUAGUCAUGACAAAUGUUCCUUUUUAGAAUUACUUAAUUAAAUUUUUUAUUACCG
Molecule: non-coding RNA, 755 nt
Organism: Pelobates cultripes (western spadefoot toad)
Lineage: Eukaryota; Metazoa; Chordata; Amphibia; Anura; Pelobatidae
Source: the annotation of a GenBank genome assembly